CUUCUAGAAAUAGUAUUUGUGAGGGCUCUGAAUGCCAGUCUGAAUGCCAGUAUUUGUGAGGGCUCUGAAUGCUCUAGUCUGCAAUGCGGAAGUCCUCAUGCCAGGUGUCCCAGCUUUUCCUUUUCCCAUUCGAAGUGGGGGCCGAUGAGACAGGACUGGGGGAGUCAUCGUCACGGUAACUGGCACGGCCUGUGGGGGCUUGCAUCAAGUUCCGGCACCAGGAAGGGCUCCGUUAGCCUCUAAUUGUCUCUGCGUCUCUGUCUUCUUCUGUCACUAAGCAAGCUGAGUUUUCUGCUUGACCCCAUCCUCUUUGCUGCGGGGAGUGAUCAGGAACAUAAAGGACGCCAGGUUGCCCGCAUCCAGGGUGACAGAUGGUCCUGAUCUGCCCAAGACUGAGGGGAUUACCCAGCAAGCAUGUGACACCAAUAGUGCAUUCACCCCGCUGAGAGGCAUCUGCUUGGUCCCAAGCACUUAUGGCUUGCUCUCAAAAUGAACACUUAUGGACCACAGCACUCACCAGGCUCAUUUGAAGAGAAAAAAAAUUGAGGCUCAUGGAGGUUGAAUCAACCUGCUUCAUCUAUCUGGCACUAAGAGACAGACUCCAAAUUUGAAGCUUGCCUGUCUUGUGUAUCACCCCGGGGCAUGUCAUAUCAUGUGUGUUGUUGAGUGUGUG
Molecule: long non-coding RNA, 673 nt
Organism: Canis lupus familiaris (dog)
Lineage: Eukaryota; Metazoa; Chordata; Mammalia; Carnivora; Canidae
Exons: 4
Source: RefSeq, a predicted model, not a curated record